CAGCUGAAUGCCUGAGGCAUCUGCAGCUGAACAGUGGAAGAGAUUUCAACAAGAGAAGUCUGUAACCAUGCCAGCCAGCAGUCAAUCUCUUUCCCUCCUGCCCUUCUCUCUGUGAGGUGUAUUUAUAGGCAAUCAGGAGCAUGAAAGAAUGUGGGUUUCCUCAGAAGUUCUGGCCAUUCAGUAACAUCCAUUAGGUGCUUUCAUUGCUCUGCAGAGGACAGGCACAAAAUUCCUGAUCUGAAGCACCUGAUUCAGAAAGAAGCUUACCCAGAAUAUGUUCACUUUCCACAGCAUCCUAGGGAGAAGUUGGAGGAUACACAAAAUAUCCCCACCAAGGAAAGGAACACAGAGCUAUAAUUGUGAAGAAAUAAUUUGUGCUCGUGUGUGUAGCAUGCACACACAAAUAUAUGUGCAAUUCUGUCUUCUACUACAUGAAAAACCAAGAAAUGAAACCAAUAAAGAAAUAAAUUUUUUAUUUUCAGAGAGGGUCUCAAAAGGUAGACCUCGGACUGGAAAUUCUCUUGUGUUAGUUUCCAAAGAAGUGGGGAUUACAGGUGUGUGCCUAGCCCAAAUAUUUUAAAAAUAUCUCCACCCCAGUGGUGGGGAUCUAACCUAGGGCCCCUCACAUACUAGGCAAGAACUCUACGACCGAGAUAUACCCUGAUCCCUAAAACAACUUUUUAAAAAUUAUUUUUAGUUGUAGAUGGACACAAUACCUUUAUUUCAUGUUAUUUAUUUUUAUGUGGUGCAUCACACAUGCUGGGCAAGCACUAUACUACUGAGCUACAACCCCAGCCCCUAAAAUAACUUUUAACAGGUUUUGAGUUUAUUAUUUUGGCCAUUUACAUAUUGUCUAGUACUUGUGCACAAAAAAUAAAAAUAUUUUUAAAUGGA
Ictidomys tridecemlineatus (thirteen-lined ground squirrel) is the source of this 894-nucleotide non-coding RNA. Lineage: Eukaryota; Metazoa; Chordata; Mammalia; Rodentia; Sciuridae. The record is from RefSeq and is a predicted model, not a curated record.